CUACGGGUGGCUGCAGUGAGGAAUCUUUCGCAAUGGGGGAAACCCUGACGAAGCAACACCGCGUGGGGGAUGAAGGCGUUUUCGUUGUAAACUCCUUUUCUGAGGGAAUAAUUCUGAAGGUACCUCAGGAAUAAGCAUCGGCUAACUACGUGCCAGCAGCCGCGGUAAGACGUAGGAUGCAAGCGUUAUCCGGAAUUAUUGGGCGUAAAGAGUUCGUAGGCGGUUUAUUAAGUUGGAUGUCAAAUCUUUGAGCUCAACUCAAAGCCGGUAUCCAAAACUGGUAAGCUAGAGACAGGUAGAGGUAGAUGGAAUUCUGCAUGUAGGGGUUAUAUCCGUAGAUAUGCAGAGGAACACCAAAAGCGAAGGCAGUCUACUGGACCUGUUCUGACGCUAAAGAACGAAAGCGUGGGUAGCGAACGGGAUUAGAUACCCCAGUAGUC
RNAcentral lists this ribosomal RNA (440 nucleotides) under uncultured bacterium. RNAcentral describes it as "partial 16S ribosomal RNA". It matches the Rfam family "Bacterial small subunit ribosomal RNA", at positions 339 to 795 of the family's 1533-position model. The record is from RNAcentral.